UACACUCCUGCGGGAGGCAGCAGUGGGGAAUAUUGGACAAUGGGCGCAAGCCUGAUCCAGCCAUGCCGCGUGAGUGAUGAAGGCCCUAGGGUUGUAAAGCUCUUUCACCGGUGAAGAUAAUGACGGUAACCGGAGAAGAAGCCCCGGCUAACUUCGUGCCAGCAGCCGCGGUAAUACGAAGGGGGCUAGCGUUGUUCGGAUUUACUGGGCGUAAAGCGCACGUAGGCGGACUAUUAAGUCAGGGGUGAAUCCCGGGGCUCAACCCCGGAACUGCCUUUGAUACUGGUAGUCUUGAGUUCGAGAGAGGUGAGUGGAAUUCCGAGUGUAGAGGUGAAAUUCGUAGAUAUUCGGAGUAACACCAGUGGCGAAGGCGGCUCACUGGCUCGAUACUGACGCUGAGGUGCGAAAGCGUGGGGAGCAAACAGGAUUAGAAACCCCUGUAGUCCCAUGAU
RNAcentral lists this ribosomal RNA (452 nucleotides) under uncultured organism. RNAcentral's name for it is "partial 16S ribosomal RNA". It matches the Rfam family "Bacterial small subunit ribosomal RNA", at positions 332 to 801 of the family's 1533-position model. The record is from RNAcentral.